This 468-nucleotide ribosomal RNA is filed under the name uncultured bacterium. RNAcentral's name for it is "partial 16S ribosomal RNA". It matches the Rfam family "Bacterial small subunit ribosomal RNA", at positions 28 to 507 of the family's 1533-position model. The record is from RNAcentral.
GACGAACGCUGGCGGCGUGCUUAACACAUGCAAGUCGAACGGAAAGGCCCUGCUUUUGUGGGGUGCUCGAGUGGCGAACGGGUGAGUAACACGUGAGUAACCUGCCCUUGACUUUGGGAUAACUUCAGGAAACUGGGGCUAAUACCGGAUAGGAGCUCCUGCUCCAUGGUGGGGGUUGGAAAGUUUCGGCGGUUGGGGAUGGACUCGCGGCUUAUCAGCUUGUUGGUGGGGUAGUGGCUUACCAAGGCUUUGACGGGUAGCCGGCCUGAGAGGGUGACCGGCGACAAUGGGCCUGAGAUACGGACCAGACGCCUACGUGAGGCAGCAGUGGGGAGUAUGGCACAGUGGGCGGACGCCUGAUGCAGCGACGCUGCGUGCGGGAUGACGUCCUUCGGGUUGUAAACCGCUUUCGCCUGUGGCGAAGCGUGAGUGACGGUAAUGGGUAAAGAAGCACCGGCUAACUACGUG